RNAcentral lists this ribosomal RNA (502 nucleotides) under uncultured bacterium. RNAcentral describes it as "bacterial SSU rRNA". It matches the Rfam family "Bacterial small subunit ribosomal RNA", at positions 355 to 870 of the family's 1533-position model. The record is from RNAcentral.
UGGGGAAUUUUACACAAUGGGCGAAAGCCUGAUGUAGCGACACCGCGUGAGCGAAGAAGCCUUUUGGGGUGUAAAGCUCUGUCAGCAGGGACGAAACAAAUGACGGUACCUGCAGAGGAAGCAUCGGCUAACUACGUGCCAGCAGCCGCGGUAAGACGUAGGAUGCAAGCGUUGUCCGGAUUUAUUGGGCGUAAAGAGUUCGUAGGUGGUUCGUUAAGUCUGAUGUUAAAGAUCGGGGCUCAACCUCGGGAGUGCAUUGGAUACUGGCGGACUUGAGUGUGGUAGAGGCAAUCGGAAUUCCAGGUGUAGCGGUGAAAUGCGUAGAUAUCUGGAAGAACACCGGUGGCGCAAGCGGAUUGCUGGGCCAUAACUGACACUGAGGAACGAAAGCUAGGGGAGCAAAUGGGAUUAGAUACCCCAGUAGUCCUAGCUGUAAACGAUGGAUACUAGGCGUAUCGGGUAUCGACCCCUGAUGUGCCGCAGCUAACGCGGUAAGUAUCCC